Molecule: ribosomal RNA, 497 nt
Filed under: uncultured bacterium
Lineage: Bacteria
Description: partial 16S ribosomal RNA
Rfam family: Bacterial small subunit ribosomal RNA
Source: RNAcentral
GAUGAACGCUGGCGGCGUGCCUAAUACAUGCAAGUCGAGCGAACAGACGAGGAGCUUGCUCCUCUGACGUUAGCGGCGGACGGGUGAGUAACACGUGGAUAACCUACCUAUAAGACUGGGAUAACUUCGGGAAACCGGAGCUAAUACCGGAUAACAUGUUGAACCGCAUGGUUCAACAGUGAAAGACGGUCUUGCUGUCACUUAUAGCUGGAUCCGCGCCGCAUUAGCUAGUUGGUAAGGUAACGGCUUACCAAGGCAACGAGGCGUAGCCGACCUGAGAGGGUGAUCGGCCACACUGGAACUGAGACACGGUCCAGACUCCUACGGGAGGCAGCAGUAGGGAAUCUUCCGCAAUGGGCGAAAGCCUGACGGAGCAACGCCGCGUGAGUGAAGAAGGUCUUCGGAUCGUAAAACUCUGUUAUUAGGGAAGAACAAAUGUGUAAGUAACUAUGCACGUCUUGACGGUACCUAAUCAGAAAGCCACGGCUAACUACGUG